Cucurbita moschata (crookneck pumpkin) is the source of this 820-nucleotide long non-coding RNA. RefSeq lists it as uncharacterized. The transcript is spliced from 3 exons. Lineage: Eukaryota; Viridiplantae; Streptophyta; Magnoliopsida; Cucurbitales; Cucurbitaceae. The record is from RefSeq and is a predicted model, not a curated record.
UCCGACUUCCGAGUCAAUUUAGAAGCCACCCGAUCCCUAUAUAAAUGAAGCGUGGGGGCAGCUUUCCAUUUCUGUAACUGGUGAAACGAAAAAAGGAAAUGGUUAACGAAUCUUCUUCUUCCUAAGAAUAUCGUCCACUUCAGGAUUUUUGGUGCGCAUUGAGAUGCGUAAUUUUUGAACCAGUGGCCUCUCCGUUGCGUUUCUCACCCUUUAGGGUUCUAUGGUCGGUCCGCGACCCCUGGAUACCGAAGGCGUCCUUGGAGUGAUCUCAUAGUUCCUACGGAGUGGAGACGAUGGAGUUAUAUAAUAAAGUUUUUCGAUGGCUAAAUUACCGUUUCAAACCCUGAAAAGAAACAUGCAUUUAUGAGGUUUAAAAGUGCUUUUGCUUUGUCGAAUAUCAGGUUGCUGACCCAGAAUAUUUUUCAGGGGCCUAACAACUUUUUGCAAGAUUGGGUCCACAAACCACAAUCAUAUUCAUAGCCUGUGAGAAGUCCAUUUCCAUGCCAUUUCUUUCUCAAUCGAGAUCUUAGCUGCCCGAUCACCCCAUCGAUCAUUGGGGUGGCUUCUAUGAAAGUUGUUUAUAUACUUUAACUUGCAUUGACAACGUCAAGCUAUGACAUGAAGGAAGGUGAGAAAAGUCCAUUCGAUUUUUGUUUCACCUUCAUCCUCUCGAGGUCAAACUCAAGUCUAGUCUAGCUCGAUGAAGCUUCCACAUGCACAUAUUAAAUGUAACUAUUCAUCCCAAUUGAAUUCCAUAUGAUUUGAAUUCUUAAGAUUAUUGUUACUUAGUUGUUUAUUUGUCCAUGAUUGGUGUGAUCUG